RNAcentral lists this ribosomal RNA (356 nucleotides) under Megacephala regalis regalis. RNAcentral describes it as "partial 16S ribosomal RNA". The record is from RNAcentral. Lineage: Eukaryota; Metazoa; Arthropoda; Insecta; Coleoptera; Carabidae.
AAAGGUAGCGUAAUCAUUAGUUUUUUAAUUGAAAGCUUGAAUGAAUGGUUGGACGAGGUAAUAUCUGUCUUUAUUUAAUUUAAAUUAGAAUUUAACUUUUAAGUUAAAAGGCUUAAAUUCGUGUGAUAGACGAGAAGACCCUAUAGAUCUUUAUAAUUGGAAUUAUUAACAAAUUAGGAUUAUGUUAUGGUUAUAGAUUUUAGUUAUUUUAUUGGGGUAAUAUAAAGAUUUGAUAAAUUCUUUGAAUUUUAAACAGUGAUAUUUGGUUAAGUGAUCCAUUAGUAUUGAUUGUAAGAUUAAGUUACCUUAGGGAUAACAGCGUAAUUUUUUUAAAGAGUUCAUAUCGAUAAAAGAGU